GUGUCUUAAUGAUAAUCAGUUAACUGGAAAAAUCCCAAGGGAGCUCACUGGUAUUUCCAGCUUGAAAGUUGUAGAUGUCUCAAACAACUUGUGUGGAACAAUUCCUACUACAGGUCCAUUUGAGCACAUCCCAUUAAACAAAACAUUGACAAAAUCCCAUAUGUUAAUUGUCCUGUGCUGAUUAUUCAUAUUCGAGAUUUGAUAUGGACGUGUUUGGUAAUUUGGAGGGCCGAUGAUAGUUCAUUUUGUGUUUUUGUUCAUAUUACCUUACAUGUAUUUUGGUUGUGCUGUAAAUUUUAUAUUUUUAUUAGUAUUACGGGGCAUGUUUGGUAAUCUGCCCUUGAUAUUUUAUUUU
Long non-coding RNA from Camellia sinensis, 355 nucleotides. RefSeq lists it as uncharacterized. The record is from RefSeq and is a predicted model, not a curated record. Lineage: Eukaryota; Viridiplantae; Streptophyta; Magnoliopsida; Ericales; Theaceae.